ACGGCACUGCUGCAUGGCCGGCUUGGGGUCAGCUGUAUGUGGGGCUCUUGCACUAUAUAAGCCGGAAGCUCUCGAUCAGUUGGUGGGAGGCAUACAUGUCUUCUUUGCUGCUCCCAUAUUUGCAUGCUUUGCUAUCUUUGAUCCCUUAAAGCAACGGCCAGGAAGCAUGCAUUGCCCUUCGUUCCCUGCAUUGGUACCACUCCACCUUAAGGCGGUGUCGCUAUCCGGAGCUUUCUCUCCUGUAAUCUUGUCAUCUGGCUUGCACUUGCUCCACAUAAUCCCUGGGCCAUGAUCACCAGCGUGUUCUCUGUGGUAGGGUAAAGCCGGUCGCAGUGAGUAACGACGACAACCGACACAUGCAGGGCUGAUAAUCAGCUUGAUACUGAGGGAUGUCGACCAGUCGAUGAAUCGACACACACAAUGACCACUGAGAAUGUGACAUUUUUGGAUUAUUGCCAUUUUGAACUUCAUGCAUGAUAUAAUUAAUGUCUUUUGAAACACAUUAAUUGCUUGUAUCAUUUUAUCAUCGAAUGAGAAACUUCAAUUAUUCAACGUUUGAUUUGGACAUUAUUU
Long non-coding RNA from Setaria italica (foxtail millet), 573 nucleotides. RefSeq lists it as uncharacterized. The transcript has 2 exons. The record is from RefSeq and is a predicted model, not a curated record. Lineage: Eukaryota; Viridiplantae; Streptophyta; Magnoliopsida; Poales; Poaceae.